CAGUCGCCGCGGGAAUACGAAGGGUGCAAGCGUUACUCGGAAUUACUGGGCGUAAAGCGUGCGUAGGUGGUGGUUUAAGUCCGUUGUGAAAGCCCUGGGCUCAACCUGGGAAUUGCAGUGGAUACUGGAUCACUAGAGUGUGGUAGAGGAUAGUGGAAUUUCCGGUGUAGCAGUGAAAUGCGUAGAGAUCGGAAGGAACAUCUGUGGCGAAGGCGACUAUCUGGGCCAACACUGACACUGAGGCACGAAAGCGUGGGGAGCAAACAGGAUUAGAUACCCCUGUAGUCCCUGUCUCUUAUAC
Molecule: ribosomal RNA, 301 nt
Filed under: uncultured bacterium
Lineage: Bacteria
Description: partial 16S ribosomal RNA
Rfam family: Bacterial small subunit ribosomal RNA
Source: RNAcentral